Molecule: long non-coding RNA, 898 nt
Filed under: Mytilus galloprovincialis (Mediterranean mussel)
Lineage: Eukaryota; Metazoa; Mollusca; Bivalvia; Mytilida; Mytilidae
Source: RNAcentral
AAAUGGUUGAUUUUCCCAUAAUAUAACAAGAAUAGGUGAUAGUAAAAUAUGGUUCAUGCAACUUUGUAUAAAAUAGGGUUUUCCAGAAAAAAACGUACUUAGUUAUUGACUGACCAAUUUAAAUGUGAAAUUGCAAGUGAAAUGCAUUAUAGAAAGAAUUUUCAAGUAAGUAUAGUACAUGUGAACGAAAUUAAUCAGCCCAUACAUGCAAAUCCGCACUUAUGUGAUUUGAUGAGUGACUUACCGAUUUCAAUGUGCUUUAGAAUUUGGUAUUUUCGUUAUUUUACUUUCUCCUACAUUUUAGAAACGAACAAAUAAUCAGGAAUCAGGAAUUGGAAAACGAAAAUCCGACAGUUAUUUGAAAAGGAUUUUUAAGAAAUGUUUUCCAAUUGAAGUGGAUAUCAUUCUAAAAUGAGGUUAAACCAAGAUAUUGCAUAACAAAAAAAAAAAAAAAAAAAAAAAAAUCAGAGGAAAAUCAAUUCGGAAAGUCCAUAAUCACAUGGAAAAAUCAAAUAACAAAACGCAUGGACAAGAACUGUCAUAUUCCUGACUUGGUACAGGCAUUUUCAAAUGUAGAAAAUGGUGGAUUGAACCUGGUUUUAUAGCUAGCUAAACCUCCCACUUGUAUGACAGUCGUAUCACAUUCAAUUAUAUUGUCACCGAUGCUUGAACAAAACAGACACAAUAGUUAAAAAUGUCAAAAAUAGGGGUAAUAGCAAGUUUAUUUUCGACUUACGAGUUUGAAUGUCUCUUUUGUAUCUUUCGCUUGUCCUCUCCAAUUCAUACUUAAUAGUUAUCAAAGGUACCAGGAUUAUAAUUUAGUACGCCAGACGCGCGUUUCGUCUAAAUAAGACUCAUCAGUGACGCUCAUAUCAAAAUAUUUAUAAAGCCAAACAAG